AUGAAACACGGAGCAAUCUGUGGCUUACAGAUGGGCCUGCGGCGCAUUAGCUAGUUGGUGAGGUAACGGCUCACCAAGGCGACGAUGCGUAGCCGACCUGAGAGGGUGAUCGGCCACACUGGGACUGAGACACGGCCCAGACUCCUACGGGAGGCAGCAGUAGGGAAUCUUCCGCAAUGGACGCAAGUCUGACGGAGCAACGCCGCGUGAGUGAUGAAGGUUUUCGGAUCGUAAAGCUCUGUUGCCAGGGAAGAAUGCUAAGGAGAGUAACUGCUCUUUAGGUGACGGUACCUGAGAAGAAAGCCCCGGCUAACUACGUGCCAGCAGCCGCGGUAAUACGUAGGGGGCAAGCGUUGUCCGGAAUUAUUGGGCGUAAAGCGCGCGCAGGCGGUCAUUUAAGUUUGGUGUUUAAUUCCGGGGCUCAACCCCGGGUCGCACUGAAAACUGGGUGACUUGAGUGCGGGAGAGGAAAGUGGAAUUCCACGUG
RNAcentral lists this ribosomal RNA (487 nucleotides) under Paenibacillus sp. RNAcentral describes it as "bacterial SSU rRNA". It matches the Rfam family "Bacterial small subunit ribosomal RNA", at positions 200 to 675 of the family's 1533-position model. The record is from RNAcentral. Lineage: Bacteria; Bacillati; Bacillota; Bacilli; Caryophanales; Paenibacillaceae.